UACGUAGGGUGCAAGCGUUAAUCGGAAUUACUGGGCGUAAAGCGUGCGCAGGCGGUUUUGUAAGUCUGUCGUGAAAGCCCCGGGCUCAACAUGGGAAUUGCGAUGGAGACUGCAAGGCUUGAAUCUGGCAGAGGGGGGUAGAAUUCCACGUGUAGCAGUGAAAUGCGUAGAGAUGUGGAGGAACACCGAUGGCGAAGGCA
This 200-nucleotide ribosomal RNA is filed under the name uncultured bacterium. RNAcentral's name for it is "partial 16S ribosomal RNA". It matches the Rfam family "Bacterial small subunit ribosomal RNA", at positions 524 to 723 of the family's 1533-position model. The record is from RNAcentral.